This 973-nucleotide non-coding RNA is filed under the name Calidris alpina (dunlin). Its description in RNAcentral is "12S ribosomal RNA". It matches the Rfam family "Bacterial small subunit ribosomal RNA". The record is from RNAcentral. Lineage: Eukaryota; Metazoa; Chordata; Aves; Charadriiformes; Scolopacidae.
AAAAGACUUAGUCCUAACCUUACCGUUAAUUUUUGCUAGAUAUAUACAUGCAAGUAUCCGCGCCCCAGUGUAAAUGCCCUUAAUCUCUUAUUAAGAAAAAAGGAGCGGGUAUCAGGCACACCUAAAAACUGUAGCCCAAGACGCCUUGCUCAGCCACACCCUCACGGGUAUUCAGCAGUAAUUAACAUUAAGCAAUAAGUGAAAACUUGACUUAGUUAUAGCAACACCAGGGUUGGUAAAUCUUGUGCCAGCCACCGCGGUCACACAAGAGACCCAAAUUAACCGUAUACGGCGUAAAGAGUGGUAUCAUGUUAUCUUAACAACUAAGACCAAAGUACAACUAAGCUGUCAUAAGCCCAAGAUGUACCUAAGACCCCCCUUAAAACGAUCUUAGCGUCCUUGAUUAAUUUAAUUCCACGAAAGCUAAGGCACAAACUGGGAUUAGAUACCCCACUAUGCUUAGCCCUAAAUCUUGAUGCUCUCCUGUACUAAAGCAUCCGCCUGAGAACUACGAGCACAAACGCUUAAAACUCUAAGGACUUGGCGGUGCCCUAAACCCACCUAGAGGAGCCUGUUCUAUAAUCGAUAACCCACGUUACACCCGACCGCCCCUUGCCAGAGCAGCCUACAUACCGCCGUCGCCAGCUCACCUCCUCUGAGAGCUCAACAGUGAGCACAAUAGCCCAAACCCGCUAAUAAGACAGGUCGAGGUAUAGCCCACGGGGCGGAAGAAAUGGGCUACAUUUUCUAAAAUAGAAAACUCACGGACGGGGGCAUGAAAUUGCCCCCCGAAGGCGGAUUUAGUAGUAAAGUGGGACAAUAUAAGCCCUCUUUAAGUCGGCCCUGGGGCACGUACAUACCGCCCGUCACCCUCCUCACAAGCUACAACUCUACAAUACCUAAUACAACCCCCAGCUGAAGAUGAGGUAAGUCGUAACAAGGUAAGUGUACCGGAAGGUGCACUUAGCAUACC